Molecule: ribosomal RNA, 444 nt
Filed under: uncultured Oscillospiraceae bacterium
Lineage: Bacteria; Bacillati; Bacillota; Clostridia; Eubacteriales; Oscillospiraceae
Description: bacterial SSU rRNA
Rfam family: Bacterial small subunit ribosomal RNA
Source: RNAcentral
CCUACGGGGGGCUGCAGUGGGGAAUAUUGGGCAAUGGGCGAAAGCCUGACCCAGCGACGCCGCGUGAGGGAAGAAGGUCUUCGGAUUGUAAACCUUUGUUGAUGGGGAAGAAGAAAGUGACGGUACCCAUCGAGGAAGCCACGGCUAACUACGUGCCAGCAGCCGCGGUAAUACGUAGGUGGCGAGCGUUAUCCGGAUUUACUGGGUGUAAAGGGUGUGUAGGCGGAAAGGCAAGUCAGGUGUGAAAUUUACGGGCUCAAACCGUGAACUGCGCCUGAAACUGUCUUCCUUGAGGGUCGGAGGGGCAAAUGGAAUUCCAAGUGUAGCGGUGAAAUGCGUAGAUAUUUGGAGGAACACCGGUGGCGAAGGCGGUUUGCUGGACGACAACUGACGCUGAUACACGAAAGUGUGGGGAGCAAACAGGAUUAGAUACCCGGGUAGUCU